CGAUUUUAUAUAUCACUUCUCAUAAUUGAUACGUUGGCUUUGUUUCCAAAGUUUAUUUUCUCCGUUUAUCAUUUCAUGCAACUGAGAGAAUCAUUCCUUCUUUCCAUCGCGUAUCCAAAUAUCCUUCUCCAAGGUUUUCUUCUGAAGAAGUUCUGCAAGCUAACAAGUUGUCUUUCUCUUGUACCUCAUCAACUUAAUGAGCAUGUUUAGAAGUUCUUUUACGCAAUUUAACUCUACAGUUUGAUCGAUAAUUGCCAUAUUUCUUACAACGAAGCAUUGAACUUGGACUUUUCAAAGUAAGUUUUACUUUCAGAAGUGUGCUGGCCAAUCUUUUUCUUAGACAAUAUAGUAACAUUUAACCCUUUUUCACUAUUGGGACUACCAUUUGAAUUGCUUGAGCUAGUUAAAUUAAUCUUGCUUUUAUUAGCUCAUCGCAGCUUGAGAGCAACAAUUAUUGUGAAGAUCAAAGGAGUAAUAAGGAAACCCCAAAAUCUCAGUGUGACAAGGUUGCAUAUCUUCACAAUAUUUCUGUAAUUAGUGGAGAGAAUCUAGGUGAUAUAGCAACAAAUCAGUCCAACCAGCAAAUUAGCAAAUCAUUCCAAAAUAAUCUGCUCCAAUUCUAUUCCUUCUUUGGAGGAAUGCACCGAACCAGCAUUGUUGAUUAUUGAAGACUUUUGGUUUUCUCCACAUGAUGAAAUAUGAAGAGUGUUAGAGAGGAAGAUGAAGAGUGUUGGAGAGGAAGAUGAAGAGAUGGAUGCAUUCACCAUCAUUAUUAGUCAUUAUUAUUCUUCGUAAUUGUGUGACUCUUAGUAGUCUUAUGCUAUCCUAUAAAUAGGUUUGUCAUGUACUCAAAUCAAAUAAUUCAUAUAUAAAAAAA
Molecule: long non-coding RNA, 877 nt
Filed under: Olea europaea subsp. europaea
Lineage: Eukaryota; Viridiplantae; Streptophyta; Magnoliopsida; Lamiales; Oleaceae
Source: RNAcentral